UACGUAGGGUGCGAGCGUUGUCCGGAAUUAUUGGGCGUAAAGAGCUUGUAGGCGGUUUGUCACGUCGGGAGUGAAAACUCAGGGCUUAACCCUGAGCCUGCUUUCGAUACGGGCUGACUUGAGGAAGGUAGGGGAGAUCGGAAUUCCUGGUGGAGCGGUGGAAUGCGCAGAUAUCAGGAGGAACACCAGUGGCGAAGGCGGAUCUCUGGACCUUUCCUGACGCUGAGAAGCGAAAGCGUGGGGAGCAAACAGGCUUAGAUACCCUGGUAGU
This 271-nucleotide ribosomal RNA is filed under the name uncultured prokaryote. RNAcentral describes it as "partial 16S ribosomal RNA". It matches the Rfam family "Bacterial small subunit ribosomal RNA", at positions 524 to 794 of the family's 1533-position model. The record is from RNAcentral.